Molecule: non-coding RNA, 45 nt
Filed under: Echinostoma caproni
Lineage: Eukaryota; Metazoa; Platyhelminthes; Trematoda; Plagiorchiida; Echinostomatidae
Source: RNAcentral
GCACUGCUGAUGAGUCCCAAACAGGACGAACUGGCAGUCCAGUGC